Molecule: RNA transcript, 2933 nt
Organism: Spinacia oleracea (spinach)
Lineage: Eukaryota; Viridiplantae; Streptophyta; Magnoliopsida; Caryophyllales; Amaranthaceae
Gene name: protein COFACTOR ASSEMBLY OF COMPLEX C SUBUNIT B CCB2, chloroplastic
Exons: 8
Source: RefSeq, a predicted model, not a curated record
AAACUAAAAAGAAAACAAAAAUGGGUAUUCUAACUGGAAAUCAGUUGGUACCGUUGAGCUUAGCAUUCCCAAUUCGCGCCAACCCUAACUAUCAUCUUCACGAUAUAGUUAGGUUAGUUACCCCUCUCAAAACCAGAAGAAAUUCCAGAAAAUCUUUGAAAUUAUCAGCGAAACUUGACGAUUCUUCAUCUCCCACAAAUUCCCAGCAACAAUUAAACCUCUCUGUCCUUCGAUUUACUUUCGGAAUAUCUUGGUUGGAUGAAUCUUACUUGCCCAGAUGGAUUGGUUAUGGUUUUGGAUCUCUUGUUAUUCUCAACCAUUUUGUUGGUUCGAGUUCCCCUGUAACCUCAGCUCAGCUUAUUUCAGAGGCGUUGGGUCUUUCGCUGGCGGCUUUCUCUGUAACACUUCCUUAUAUGGGGAGAUUUCUCAAGGGAGCAGCACCUGAGGAACUAGCAAGUCUUCCUCAACGUGCUGAACAAGUUUUUGUGAUGUCACACAAUGUUUCAGAUACCCUAAAGGAGGAUCUUGCUUGGACAACAUAUAUUCUACUACGCAAUACAAAAUCUGUCUCAGUGCUUAUAUCUUUGCAAGAUGUGAUCUGUGUCCGCGGAUAUUGGAACUUACCAGAAAAUUUAUCAAAGGAUGAGAUUCUCAACUGGUUCAUGGGUAAAAUAAGGAAAAAUGGGCUGUCUGAUGUGAAGGAGACACUCUAUUUUCCUCAAAGCACAGGUUCAGUACUGAAGGAGGCUAUUCCUGAAGAGACUGGUUCUAUUUUAGUACAGCCACUUUGCAGUUCAGAGGCACAGGGAAAGGGAAAUGAGAAUGAUGUGGGAUUUGUGCUUGUAGCUUCAGGUGUAAGCUAUGCCUAUGAUGAGAAAGACAAGUUGUGGAUAAAAGCCAUAGCCAACAAAUUCAAAGGUUGUUUCUUUGGUAAAGAUUUAUGCGGGAUCGAAGAGAAUGUCAAUCUUUCGACUACAAUCAGACGAAUCAGACGGAAAUCAUAUUUGUCACGGCUACAACAGAUCUAUAGACCCCCUCGUCAAUAAAGGCUGUAAAUCUUAGCGAUAUAAAAGAGGGUAUACAGAAUGUUUGAUAUACUACGAUCGUAGCUAUGGUGAAAUGAAGUUUUUAUUUGAUACGAUUGUUAUGUAUUUGUUAGAUUUAUGUCUUUAUGUAGAUGUCGUAUGACUUUUUAUCAAUGAAUUAAUUUGUUUAUAAAAAAAAAAGAUGUAGUGGGCUUUAGUUUAUUUGUGAUUAAUUGAUUGAGUAAUGUUGAUGAUCUUUGAGUAUGGAAGAGGAAUUACAAAGAGACUUUUGUGGGGAAUUCUUCUUGUAGUAUUGGUUAAUGCUUUACAAUGCUACAUAUUUAUAGUAACACAUUGUUGGUGGUUUCCACCACUACACUAUUCUAGACUAUUCUACUCUAGACUAUUCUACUUUCUUCCCUUUGUUGAUAGUUCUAGGUUUUUCUACUCUUAGAUAUUUGUUUAGGAUAGUCUAGAUAUUUUAUUACAUGUUUCUAGAUUUUUCUAGAUUAUUGUUUUUAACACCCCCAAUUUCUCAUACUUGCUAAACCUAGAGGGUCGGAACACGAAUUCUUCUCGGCGUUCUCGCUACACUAUGAUCAAAGCAAUUGCAAUAUCAAAGAUUUCGUGCAAUUGGAAUUCGAAAUUCUGUAUCGUCCUACAAUUGUGGGUUCUUGUAAUGGCCUUGUCUGCAUAAUUGCAUAUACUCGAAAGUACCAAAGGCGUCCUAUCUUGGUUAUAUGGAACCCGGCUACUCGUUGUUCUCGUAAAAUCACGAUUCCUAAGGGUGAAAAAAAGAUUGAGAAGUUGAGUCAGUUCAUUAUGAUUCUUCUACAGAUAACUAUGAAAUUUUUGGUGCAUGUUUGGGUUCUGGUGAUUAUGUUAAUUUUCAUGUGUUCUCUUGGAAUACUGGGAACUGGAAAAGAAUUGGUAUUCUAGACAAGCGUUUCAAAACAAGUGAGCUUAAAACGACAGUGUUGGCCUGUGAUACUGUAUACUUUCUAUGUAACCAGGUCAAUCCAAUUGUUGGAUUUGAUUUAGUUACGGAGCAAUUAGUGGAAGUUCCAUUGAUGAAUUUUCCAAGAACUGUAGUGUGGGCUUUUGAGUUGAGAGGGUGUUUGUCAUUGAUUUAUUCCCCUGGUAAUUUAGAUGUUGAUAUAUGGAUGUUGAAGCAACCCAGUGACCAGAAUUCCUGGAAGAAAUCAUUCUCAUUCAGUUGUUCUACAAACACAAGACACUUUAUCUCUUCUAAGACUCGCAUAUGUAUGGGUGUACACUUUGAUGGGGGACUCAACCUCUUUGAUCCUAGUCGGGAUAUUCUACCACUGUCUCAACGGGGGGUCGGUUUUGGAUAUACUUACUACUAUUAGUCAGUAGAUUACAUUGAGAGCUUGGUUUAUCCUUUCUAACAGACCGAGUUGUGAAUAUGCAAUCAUUUUGUUGGUGUAGAUUCGACUAUCUCCACAUUGUUGCUGCCUGCUGAAGAAGUGUAGAUACUAUUGACAGGUUCAAGUAAAACUCCAGAAACUAUAGAAAUACUGUAUGCACAGAACUAAAGGACAACAGCUAGUGUAAAAACUGUAGUGCAAAUUCUUUUCACUGAUUCUUCUUGUAAACCUUUUCUCUCAUUAUAGUCUCGUCGUCUGCUCAACGUUCUGGUUUUUGUCAUAGAAUGUAGAUACGCGGCACAUAAACAAUGCUUCUCGUGUCGAACGUUGUUGCCUGUGUAGCAGAACAGGGCAGAUUUACAAAUGGUGACCCCAUGUCCCCAUGUAUGUUCAUUUCAUCGUACUAUACAGUAUACACUUGUAUCUUAGUAAGAACGUUUCUUACUCUCUCACUAGUUUAACUUAGGGAUACACUAUGUGUAUUGACUCUUGUAAUAGUUCCCAGUUACUUUCGGUUUUA